This is a long non-coding RNA of Sarcophilus harrisii (Tasmanian devil), 524 nucleotides long. RefSeq lists it as uncharacterized. The transcript is spliced from 3 exons. The record is from RefSeq and is a predicted model, not a curated record. Lineage: Eukaryota; Metazoa; Chordata; Mammalia; Dasyuromorphia; Dasyuridae.
GCAGUUGUUAUUUGUCCAAGCACUGCGCUAGGCUCUGGAGAUACACAUACAAAGAAUGAAGCAAUCCCUCCUUGGAAAGAGUGACAUUCUCAUCUUCCUGCACUGUGCUCCUCAGUGAAAGCAAAGGGCUUUCUCUGAUGUGCCAAAAACUCUGCAAUAUGCUUGGAUAAGGCCACUUUCAAGUGAAUUUUCUCUCCUCACCUUCAGCUCUAUCCCAUGCCUAUCCAGUGCAGGCUUGUCCAGGUUCUGCCCCGCAGCAAUCGGUGAGAGCCAGAAGAAUAACAGCUGUGGGAAGCUGACUUUUAGGACCUUGCCACCAUUUCCCAAGGGCCAAGGAAGGAAGUCAAGAAGGCUUGUGGGUAUAGCAGCAGGAGACAUAAGCCAAACCCUAUAAUCAUCAUCGUGCAGGGAGCAGAGUGUGCACACUUUCAGUAACGGUUUCAUCAUCCAGGAGACAGUGAGGAGCUCUCUUCUUUGGAUGAAGGCAGGGAAGAAGACAAGAAGACAUCAAGAAGCAGAAGAGG